This 164-nucleotide ribosomal RNA is filed under the name uncultured bacterium. Its description in RNAcentral is "partial 16S rRNA". It matches the Rfam family "Bacterial small subunit ribosomal RNA", at positions 355 to 511 of the family's 1533-position model. The record is from RNAcentral.
UGGGGAAUAUUGGACAAUGGGCGAAAGCCUGAUCCAGCCAUGCCGCGUGUGUGAAGAAGGUCUUCGGAUUGUAAAGCACUUUAAGUUGGGAGGAAGGGCAGUAAGCUAAUACCUUGCUGUUUUGACGUUACCGACAGAAUAAGCACCGGCUAACUCUGUGCCAC